Molecule: transfer RNA, 86 nt
Filed under: Malassezia caprae
Lineage: Eukaryota; Fungi; Basidiomycota; Malasseziomycetes; Malasseziales; Malasseziaceae
Description: tRNA-iMet
Rfam family: tRNA
About the family: Transfer RNA (tRNA) molecules are approximately 80 nucleotides in length.
Source: RNAcentral
AGCUCGGUGGUGCAGUGGAUAGCAUGUGGGGCUCAUAUCAAAUAUGUGGCACCCCAAGGUCGACGGAUCGAAACCGUCCUGAGCUA